This 76-nucleotide transfer RNA is filed under the name Bacillota bacterium. RNAcentral's name for it is "Firmicutes bacterium (anaerobic digester metagenome) tRNA-Gly". It matches the Rfam family "tRNA". From Rfam's summary of the family: Transfer RNA (tRNA) molecules are approximately 80 nucleotides in length. Their secondary structure includes four short double-helical elements and three loops (D, anti-codon, and T loops). Lineage: Bacteria; Bacillati; Bacillota. The record is from RNAcentral. RNAcentral also lists the same sequence under 1 other name.
GCGGUAGUAGCUCAAUUGGUAGAGCAUCGCGUUGCCAUCGCGAAGGUUGCGAGUUCGAGUCUCGUCUGCCGCUCCA